Molecule: unclassified non-coding RNA, 220 nt
Filed under: Hevea brasiliensis (rubber tree)
Lineage: Eukaryota; Viridiplantae; Streptophyta; Magnoliopsida; Malpighiales; Euphorbiaceae
Source: RNAcentral
UUUGCAUAAUGUAGUCACUGCCAUAGACCUUGUUUCCUUGGCAUCUAUUGCUGUCUUUUGAGUUCUCUGCAUUGCAUGGAGUGUACCAUGAAGUCUUUCAACAUCAUCAAUGGUGCCUAGUUCACAUGCUACACUUCCUAGUUUGUGUACAUUAGGGUAGAUUUUAGUUUGUUGCUUGAAAAUGUUAUUAUGUGUUAUCUUGAUUGGCUUGGAAAGAUGA